UACGUAGGCAGCGAGCGUUGUUCGGAGUUACUGGGCGUAAAGGGUGUGUAGGCGGUUUGUUUAAGUUUGGUGUGAAAUCUCCCGGCUCAACUGGGAGGGUGCGCCGAAUACUGAAUGACUUGGAGUGCGGGAGAGGAAAGUGGAAUUCCUGGUGUAGCGGUGAAAUGCGUAGAUAUCAGGAGGAACACCGGUGGUGUAGACGGCUUUCUGGACCGUAACUGACGCUGAGACACGAAAGCGUGGGUAGCAAACAGG
This 255-nucleotide ribosomal RNA is filed under the name uncultured bacterium. Its description in RNAcentral is "partial 16S ribosomal RNA". It matches the Rfam family "Bacterial small subunit ribosomal RNA", at positions 524 to 776 of the family's 1533-position model. The record is from RNAcentral.